GAUGAACGCUGGCGGCGUGCCUAAUACAUGCAAGUCGAGCGAACAGAUGAGGAGCUUGCUCCUCUGACGUUAGCGGCGGACGGGUGAGUAACACGUGGAUAACCUACCUAUAAGACUGGGAUAACUUCGGGAAACCGGAGCUAAUACCGGAUAAUAUAUUGAACCGCAUGGUUCAAUAGUGAAAGACGGUUUUGCUGUCACUCAUAGAUGGAUCCGCGCCGCAUUAGCUAGUUGGUAAGGUAACGGCUUACCAAGGCAACGAUGCGUAGCCGACCUGAGAGGGUGAUCGGCCACACUGGAACUGAGACACGGUCCAGACUCCUACGGGAGGCAGCAGUAGGGAAUCUACCGCAAUGGGCGAAAGCCUGACGGAGCAACGCCGCGUGAGUGAUGAAGGUCUUCGGAUCGUAAAACUCUGUUAUUAGGGAAGAACAAAUGUGUAAGUAACUAUGCACGUCUUGACGGUACCUAAUCAGAAAGCCACGGCUAACUACGUG
Molecule: ribosomal RNA, 497 nt
Filed under: uncultured bacterium
Lineage: Bacteria
Description: partial 16S ribosomal RNA
Rfam family: Bacterial small subunit ribosomal RNA
Source: RNAcentral